GAGGAUACACCUGUUCCCAUUCCGAACACAGAAGUUAAGCUCUCUAGCGCUGAUGGUACUUGGUGGGAAACUGCCUGGGAGAGUAGGACGUAGCCACGUU
RNAcentral lists this ribosomal RNA (100 nucleotides) under Clostridioides difficile. Lineage: Bacteria; Bacillati; Bacillota; Clostridia; Peptostreptococcales; Peptostreptococcaceae. The record is from RNAcentral.